This is an RNA transcript of Schistocerca piceifrons (Central American locust), 4823 nucleotides long. It is a transcript of the gene named neuropathy target esterase sws, with no coding region annotated. The transcript has 29 exons. Lineage: Eukaryota; Metazoa; Arthropoda; Insecta; Orthoptera; Acrididae. The record is from RefSeq and is a predicted model, not a curated record.
UGUUUGGUAGUGCGGGAGAAGGAUGCCGUGCGCCGUGUGUCAGCGUUUUAACAGUUUUAGCAUGAAGUGAACUUUUCCAGGGAUUUAGUAAUUAUCUAAAAGUCCAGAUGAACGUGUGUGCUCUACAGCUACAUGCGAAAGACACUAAGAAAAUUUAAUGACGAGGAGAGUCGACAGGCACGAUGUUCAGUUUGAAUAUGCUGUAUUUAAAAGAAUACCUGUACGGAUUCGGCGACUAUAUAGGGUUUGAAAAAUGGUCCGAGACUAUAUCAACAGUCGUGCAUCGGAAUCUGUUCAUGUUCCAAGUGGUAACUGUCCUGCUCAUUCUCUAUGCAAUUCAGAUAAUUCUAAACUAUGUUCGAGACUGGAGCAACAAGGAUUUGCCAGAGGCAAGACGUUCUGGAAAACGCUUCAGGAAAAGGGAUAAGAUGAUGUACUACGGCAGGAAAAUUAUGAGAAAGGUGAAAUCUGUAGCCUCAUCACAAGAUAUGAAAGGCCAGAGGCGCAAAAUAGCAAUAUCAAAAUUUGCCAAGCAGAUACUUUUGCAAAUGAGCAAGGAUUCAACACCCACACAACUUAAGGUGUUAGAACCUCCUGCUGAAUAUUUGGAAGAGGAUGUUACAAGCAAAACAGACAAAGGAGUCCCCCCUGAUGUUGUAUAUAUGUUGCAGAGUAUAAGAGUCUUUGGACAUUUUGAAAAGCCUGUGUUUUUGAAACUGUGCAGACGGACAGAGAUAAUUAAUGUUCCUGCUGGAUCCUUUCUUUUCAAGAUUGGAAAUCCUGAUGAAAAUGUCUAUAUUGUUCAGAGUGGAAAAUUAGUCGUUUUCACCCAAGAAGGUAAUACACCACCAGUGGAGCUAAAAAUUGUGAGGCCUGGUGAGACUGUGACAUCGUUACUCAGUUUCACAGACGUUUUAACAGGUCACACAAGCUCAUACAAGACUGUAUCAGCGAGAGCUGCAGAAGAUUCUACAGUGCUGCGUCUUCCCAUGUCGGCAUUUCAAGAUUUGUUUGAAGACUACCCCGACAUAUUUAUUAGAGUGAUGCAAGUUAUAAUGGUGCGUCUUCAGAGAGUAACAUUUACUGCUCUGCACCAGUAUCUGGGUCUGUCAUCAGAAUUGGUUAACCAGAAUUCUCAGAGGAAGGAAGCCAAAACUCCACUCGCAGUAGUGAAAAAGCAAUCAAAAAAUGUACUCCAGAAGACUUCAGAUUUUGCUCAGCAUGAGUUAUUUUUGACUAGGAAUCAGACUGAUAAUUUUAAGGCAGCUACAGAUUCUGAGUUUCACCAAUUUUCACUCAGUAAUCCACAGCCAGAUAUGCUGGAUUCAACACCAUGCUUGCCAACGGCACCAGCUUCAAGAUGUAGCCCAGAUACCUUAAUCCAGUCAGACAGUGCUAGUUAUGAUGAGGCUGCUUUAGUUGAAAUUGCAACGGCAGCAUUUGUGAAAGAGCUGGGUCUACAGGAUUCAAGUGUUCUGUCUGAUGGAAAAGUUGAAAUACGUGAAGUGUCAGCAGGAACUUACCUAAUGAAAGAAGAGAGCCAUAAGGAUGUGGCGUUGGUGUAUCUAGUCACGGGUGCCUUAGUUGUAUCACAGAAGCUGACUGAUGUUGAUGAAGAGGUCUUGAUGUUUAAAGCCCUUCCAGGAGAAAUCGUUGGAGGUCUUGCUGUACUCACUGGAGAACCAAGUUUUUUCACCAUUCGUGCAGAAACUGCAUGUAUUGUAGCACUGAUGUCAAAAACAACAUUUUAUGAGGUUAUGUGCCAUGAACCACGUGUUGUGCUCCACAUUGCCCAUACAGUUGUUAGGAGGUUAUCACCAUUUGUUCGUCAAGUAGAUUUUGGUCUGGACUGGGUCUUUGUUGAAACAGGACGUGCAGUCUACAGGCAAGGUGAUGAGUCAGACAGCACUUUUAUUGUUCUAAGUGGUCGUCUAAGAUCUGUAAUCACACACAGCAAUGGCAAAAAGGAGCAAGUUGGUGAAUAUGGCAAGGGUGACCUUAUUGGAAUUGUUGAGAUGGUGACACAUACCCCUCGAGGCACAACAGUUAUGGCUGUUCGUGAUUCUGAAUUGGCAAAACUUCCUGAAGGACUUUUCAAUGCAAUUAAACUGAAGUAUCCUGUUGUUGUAACAAGACUGAUUCAUCUGCUAGGGCACAGAAUACUGGGUUCUUGGCAGAGACCACAUGGAGGUGUACCUGUUGAUAGCCGGCCCUCUCAUGGAAAUUUUUCAACAGUUGCAAUAGUUCCAAUUUCUGAUGAUGUUCCUCUUGUGCCUUUCACAUAUGAACUGUACCAUGCAUUGCGCAGCAUAGGUCCUACUUUAAGACUGACAUCAGAUGUGAUUCGGAAUUCUCUGGGUCCAUCCAUUUUGGAUCCAAAGAAUGACUACAGGUUAACUUCUUGGUGUCUUCAGCAGGAAGACCAGCACAAAAUUACACUUUAUCAGUGUGACUUCCAGUUUACUCCAUGGACUCAACGCUGUGUACGUCAGGCUGACUGCAUUCUUAUAGUUGGUUUGGCAGAGAAGGAGCCAACAGUGGGAAAGAUUGAAAAAGAAAUAGAACGGCUGGCAGUACGGACACAGAAGGAGCUUGUUCUGCUGCAUCGUGAUCGCAGUAAAAAGCCAAAAAAUACAGUGGCGUGGUUGAACAACAGAAACUGGGUAUCGGCGCACCACCACAUUCUCUGCAAAAAACGUCUCUUUACUGAAAGGACAAAUGCUAGACUUGAGGAACUGUAUAAAAGAGUCUUGCAGACUGUUCCAGAUGCACAGUCAGACUUCUCCCGUUUGGCUCGGUGGCUUACCGGUACUUCAAUAGGCCUUGUUCUGGGAGGUGGUGGUGCACGUGGAGCUGCACAUGUAGGCAUGGUCAAAGCAAUUGAGGAAGCUGGCAUUCCAAUUGAUAUGGUUGGAGGUGUUAGCAUAGGUGCCUUCAUGGGUGCUCUGUGGUGCAUGGAGAGGGAUGUCACUACAAUGACGCAGAAAGCUCGAGACUGGUCUAAGAGACUCACCCACUGGUGGAGGCAGAUGUUGGAUCUCACCUACCCAGUAACAUCAAUGUUUACUGGUCGUGAAUUCAAUCAUACUAUACGUUCUACUUUCGGAGAUACUCACAUUGAAGAUCUCUGGGUCCCAUAUUUUACAGUCACAACUGAUAUUACGGAAAGCUGUAUGAGAGUGCAUACACAUGGUUCUUUGUGGCGCUAUAUAAGAGCAUCUAUGUCCCUCUCAGGAUACAUGCCACCAUUGUGUGAUCCCUCUGAUGGCCACCUUCUUCUUGAUGGUGGCUAUGUCAACAACUUGCCAGGUCUCCUGUGGCGAUAUGUUCGUGCAAGUAUGUCAAUAGCUGGUGUCUUACCUCCAAUGUGUGAAACAGAUGGUCAUUUACUUCUAGAUGGAUGUUAUGUAGACAAUGUCCCAGCUGAUGUUAUGAGAAAUCUUGGUGCAAAGCAUGUUUUGGCUGUUGAUGUUGGCUCACAAGAUGAUAUUGAUCUCACUAACUAUGGUGACUGCCUCUCUGGGUGGUGGUUGCUAUGGAAAAGGUGGAACCCAUUUGCUACACCGGUGAAAGUUCCUAAUUUGCCAGAUAUUCAGUCAAGACUGGCAUACGUUUCAUGUGUGAGGCAGCUAGAGGAAGUGAAGAGUAGUGACUACUGUGAAUAUAUCAGGCCACCAAUUGAUAAGUACAAGACACUGCAGUUUGGCAGCUUUGAUGAAAUAAAGGAUGUUGGAUAUCAUCAUGGUAGCACAUAUUUUGCUGGCUUAAGGAAAGCAGGCUGUUUGCCAUUCCUAAAAACAGAAACAAGCAAGGAAGAUUUUGUUGGAAGAAGUGAAACAAAAUGUGAUUUAAACCGCAUAUCUGGAUACAGUUUCACAGAUUUAGCACAGCUGGUGUGUAGAGUACCUCAGCGUAAAAGACAAACAGUAACAGAUGAUGAAUAUAUAGGAGACAAAAAAGAUGCUGAAAAAGAAAACAUCAAGGAAAGCUUUAAAAUAGUCUCCACCCAUAAUACCACGGAAAUGAGAGGGGCAGUGGAAGGUAGUGAAGAAAUGUACCAUUUGGAUACAGUGGGAUGGCAACAAUCGAGAAAGACAGACACUGAAAAAUCAUCCAGUGCCUUGGCUAAAGAUGCAAUGGACGUAGAAUAAAAAGAGUGAUCCAUUCAAAAAAUUUUUCAUGGAAACUCUCUCAACAGACAUUGAAUUUCAUAAGUAGGACUUCAUGCAGGGAUUUGAAAAAGGAUGCACCAUUUUUCUAACAUACCUCAAGGAAAGCUGCACACAGCACCAUGGGCUGUUACAAAAGAGAAGAAGAAGGUCACAGAAGAACUUUUGUGCAUCAUUCCACCUGUUCAGUAUUGUCAGAAGAAAUAAGACUCAAAGUAUUGGAGAUGAAGACAUUAGGUCACUGAUGGCAAUUACAGUACAGACAGCAAUAUCAGGGCAGAUGAAGAUCAAUUAAGUAAAAUUUCGACAAAUCUGUGUUCCACUGAAGAAGACACUCCAAUGAAAAUAUAAGUGGUCCAAAGUGGUGUGAAACAGUGCUUGAAUUUUAUAGUGUGCUGCUAUUAAUACUUGACCUUUUGUGAAGAACAGUUGUUGCAGCUACAUAUUCACUGGAAGCUGGUAGUGAACUGUGAAUUGCAGUGUCUAUUUAUUUAUUUUUUCUAUAGCUCUUCACAGUUUAGAAUGUGAUAACCUGCAAUUUGGACAGUGACGUGUAAGAAUUUUGUAAAUUUUUGUACAGUGACCUUUAUACUUAUAUUUGUACUAUGUUAGUGAUGAAACUCCUCGCAAUAAAAUGUCUCAAGAUGCUCUGGA